This 880-nucleotide ribosomal RNA is filed under the name uncultured Tissierellaceae bacterium. RNAcentral describes it as "bacterial SSU rRNA". It matches the Rfam family "Bacterial small subunit ribosomal RNA", at positions 11 to 890 of the family's 1533-position model. Lineage: Bacteria; Bacillati; Bacillota; Tissierellia; Tissierellales; Tissierellaceae. The record is from RNAcentral.
GUUUGAUCCUGGCUCAGGACGAACGCUGGCGGCGUGCCUAACACAUGCAAGUCGAGCGAAGUCGCUUGCAACAGAUUCCUUCGGGAUGAAGAUGCAAGUAUCUUAGCGGCGGACGGGUGAGUAACGCGUGAGAAACCUGCCUUUCACAAGGGGAUAGCCUCGGGAAACUGGGAUUAAUACCCUAUGAUACUUUUUAAUCGCCUGAUUUCUAAGUUAAAGCGUAAAGCGGUGAAAGAUGGUCUCGCGUCCCAUUAGUUAGUUGGUGAGGUAGAGGCUCACCAAGACGUCGAUGGGUAGCCGGCCUGAGAGGGUGAACGGCCACACUGGAACUGAGACACGGUCCAGACUCCUACGGGUAGGCAGCAGUGGGGAAUAUUGCACAAUGGAGGAAACUCUGAUGCAGCGACGCCGCGUGAACGACGAAGGCCUUCGGGUCGUAAAGUUCUGUCCUUGGGGACGAUAAUGACGGUACCCAAGGAGGAAGCCCCGGCUAACUACGUGCCAGCAGCCGCGGUAAUACGUAGGGGGCGAGCGUUGUCCGGAAUUAUUGGGCGUAAAGGGUUCGCAGGCGGUUCCUUAAGUCAGAUGUUAAAUGCAUAGGCUCAACCUAUGAGUGCAUUUGAAACUGGGGAACUUGAGUUAAGGAGAGGAAAGUGGAAUUCCUAGUGUAGCGGUGAAAUGCGUAGAUAUUAGGAGGAAUACCAGUGGCGAAGGCGACUUUCUGGACUUAAACUGACGCUGAGGAACGAAAGCAUGGGGAGCAAACAGGAUUAGAUACCCUGGUAGUCCAUGCCGUAAACGAUGAGUGCUAGGUGUUGGGGGUCAAACCUCGGCGCCGCAGCUAACGCAUUAAGCACUCCGCCUGGGGAGUACGUACGCA